CCUACGGGAGGCAGCAGUGGGGAAUAUUGCUCAAUGGGGGCAACCCUGAUGCAGCCAAGCCGCGUGAGUGAUGACGUAUUUCUGUAUUUAAAGCUCCUUCAGCAGGGAAGAGAAUGACGGUACCUGUCUCAGAUGCCCCGGCCAACUACGUGCCAGCAGGCGUGGUACUACGUAAGGAGCAGGCGUUAUCCGGAUUUACUGGGUGUAAAGGGGGCGUAGACGGGUGUACAAGUCUGAAGUGAAAGCCCGUGGCUCAACCGCGGAACUGCUGUGGAAACUGUAGAGCUGGAGUACGCGAGAGGCAGGCGGAAUUCGUAGUGUAGCGGUGAAAUGCGUAGAUAUUAGGAGGAACCCCAGUGGCGAAGGCAGCCUGCUGGACAGAAACUGACGUUGAGGCUCGAAGGCGUGGGGAGCGAACAGGAUUAGAUACCCCAGUAGUC
This 440-nucleotide ribosomal RNA is filed under the name uncultured bacterium. RNAcentral describes it as "partial 16S ribosomal RNA". It matches the Rfam family "Bacterial small subunit ribosomal RNA", at positions 338 to 795 of the family's 1533-position model. The record is from RNAcentral.